UACGUAGGGGGCAAGCGUUGUCCGGAAUCAUUGGGCGUAAAGCGCGUGUAGGCGGCUGAGUAAGUCUGCUCUGAAAGCCCGGGGCUCAACCCCGGGCUUGCAGUGGAUACGGGCAGACUAGAGUUCGGUAGGGGAGACUGGAAUUCCUGGUGUAGCGGUGAAAUGCGCAGAUAUCAGGAGGAACACCGGUGGCGAAGGCGGGUCUCUGGGCCGAUACUGACGCUGAGGAGCGAAAGCGUGGGGAGCGAACAGG
RNAcentral lists this ribosomal RNA (253 nucleotides) under uncultured bacterium. RNAcentral's name for it is "partial 16S ribosomal RNA". It matches the Rfam family "Bacterial small subunit ribosomal RNA", at positions 524 to 776 of the family's 1533-position model. The record is from RNAcentral.